This 468-nucleotide ribosomal RNA is filed under the name uncultured bacterium. RNAcentral's name for it is "partial 16S ribosomal RNA". It matches the Rfam family "Bacterial small subunit ribosomal RNA", at positions 28 to 507 of the family's 1533-position model. The record is from RNAcentral.
GACGAACGCUGGCGGCGUGCUUAACACAUGCAAGUCGAACGGAAAGGCCCUGCUUUUGUGGGGUGCUCGAGUGGCGAACGGGUGAGUAACACGUGAGUAACCUGCCCUUGACUUUGGGAUAACUUCAGGAAACUGGGGCUAAUACCGGAUAGGAGCUCCUGCUGCAUGGUGGGGGUUGGAAAGUUUCGGCGGUUGGGGAUGGACUCGCGGCUUAUCAGCUUGUUGGUGGGGUAGUGGCUUACCAAGGCUUUGACGGGUAGCCGGCCUGAGAGGGUGACCGGCCACAUUGGGACUGAGAUACGGCCCAGACUCCUACGGGGGGCAGCAGUGGGGAAUAUUGCACAAUGGGCGGAAGCCGGAUGCAGCAACGCCGCGUGCGGGAUGACGGCCUUCGGGUUGUAAACCGCUUUCGCCUGUGACGAAGCGUGAGUGACGGUAAUGGGUAAAGAAGCACCGGCUAACUACGUG